This 399-nucleotide transfer RNA is filed under the name Bos indicus x Bos taurus (hybrid cattle). Its description in RNAcentral is "lncRNA (ENSBIXG00005006601.1)". Lineage: Eukaryota; Metazoa; Chordata; Mammalia; Artiodactyla; Bovidae. The record is from RNAcentral.
UAAUUGAUGUUUAGAGAGAAAACUACUUCAUAGCCCAUAUAUGUAUUGAAAGUGAAAAGUGAAAGUGAAAUUGCUCAGUCGUGUCCGACUCUUUGCAACCCCAUGGACUGUAGCCUACCAGGCUCCUCAGUCCAUGGAAUUUUCCAGGCAAGAGUACUGGAAUGGGUUGCCAUUUCCUUCUCCAGGGGAUCUUCCCAACCCAGGGAUCAACCUGGGUCUCCCGCACUGCAGGCAGAUGCUUUACCGUCUAAGCCACCAAGGAAGCUAAAUCUAUAUUCAAAGGUAUGUAGCUGAGACAGACUUUGGAGGACCUAACCUGACAGUGAUCUCCUGGCUAUGCUUCUUACAGGUGGGCUGCAUGUCCUUACUUGGUGGAGGAUCUAGAAAACACAACCCUAC